GAUAACCAAACUCAAUCAACCAGUCCCCUUAGUAGCUUCUAUGCACAAGGAGUUAUUCAUGCACCAAGGAACUUCCUUUUCCCUGCUGUUCUCCCUUUACAUCCUCAAGUUUUUGAAAUCUUUGCCCAAGAACCAAACACAAGCCCCCUCAUCAAUUUGGUAUCUUAUCUCUGGUAUCUCCAUCAACGUCCUUGGCGACUUCCCCUAACCCUGUUCAAGAAAUCUCAACACGAAUUGGCACUGGAACUACUACUAAUUGUAAAGAAAAGCUAACGCAUGCCAGGUACUCCGUUUGAGAGGUCUAGGAAACAACGGUUCUUCAGGGGAUGAUGAGAAGGCUGAGCCUUGGAUGACAUCUUCGAGUCCAAUGAAGAAUCUCCCAGCUCAGGCUUGUCCUGUUUCUCUUAGAGAUGCUAGGUCUUUAGUCACUUCGGGCAGUGAUUCUAAUAGUGUAAUAAUGGUCUUUCAUCAUCUUCAUCAAGUUCUCCAUGCACUUCUCCUUCAUGGUGAUUAGGGUUUCUGUCAAAGCUCAAAACUAGCCAGGGAACCUUUAUUUUAAGCUUUUUGUACCGUUUUCUCAAAUGUUUUCAAAAUUCUAACAACCAUUGGUAACUAAAAUUCCUACUUUCUCAUUGGUUUUUUUUUUUAGCACAAAGGUUCUCUUGGAUUCAUUUGUUUGUUGACUGUGUUGUGGUGUUCUUGAAAAAGCUGUUUACAGCAGAAAACAAAGCUUAAUGGUUUUGUUUCUUUUUCUUCUCUGGCAUUCCAAUAAUGCAUCUGACAUUGCAAAAAGAAGUUAGAAAUUUAGUAGUUGUUUUUUUUUCUUUUUAUUCAAACAGAUAUAUUAUUUCCAUUCCUGUUUAGGGAUAUUAGUUAUUACCAAA
This is a long non-coding RNA of Gossypium raimondii (Peruvian cotton), 884 nucleotides long. RefSeq lists it as uncharacterized. The record is from RefSeq and is a predicted model, not a curated record. The transcript has 2 exons. Lineage: Eukaryota; Viridiplantae; Streptophyta; Magnoliopsida; Malvales; Malvaceae.